UACGUAGGGUGCAAGCGUUGUCCGGAAUUAUUGGGCGUAAAGAGCUCGUAGGCGGUCUGUCGCGUCGGAUGUGAAAAUCCAGGGCUCAACCCUGGACCUGCAUUCGAUACGGGCAGACUAGAGUUCGGUAGGGGAGACUGGAAUUCCUGGUGUAGCGGUGAAAUGCGCAGAUAUCAGGAAGAACACCUAUGGCGAAGGCAGCCCUCUGGGACGGUACUGACGCUGAGACGCGAAAGCGUGGGGAGCGAACAGG
RNAcentral lists this ribosomal RNA (253 nucleotides) under uncultured bacterium. Its description in RNAcentral is "partial 16S ribosomal RNA". It matches the Rfam family "Bacterial small subunit ribosomal RNA", at positions 524 to 776 of the family's 1533-position model. The record is from RNAcentral.